This 301-nucleotide ribosomal RNA is filed under the name uncultured bacterium. Its description in RNAcentral is "partial 16S ribosomal RNA". It matches the Rfam family "Bacterial small subunit ribosomal RNA", at positions 509 to 807 of the family's 1533-position model. The record is from RNAcentral.
CAGUCGCCGCGGUAAUACAGAGGGUGCGAGCGUUAAUCGGAUUUACUGGGCGUAAAGCGUGCGUAGGCGGCUUCUUAAGUCGGAUGUGAAAUCCCUGAGCUUAACUUAGGAAUUGCAUUCGAUACUGGGAAGCUAGAGUAUGGGAGAGGAUGGUAGAAUUCCAGGUGUAGCGGUGAAAUGCGUAGAGAUCUGGAGGAAUACCGAUGGCGAAGGCAGCCAUCUGGCCUAAUACUGACGCUGAGGUACGAAAGCAUGGGGAGCAAACAGGAUUAGAUACCCCCGUAGUCCAUGUCUCUUAUAC